RNAcentral lists this ribosomal RNA (658 nucleotides) under Campylobacter jejuni. RNAcentral describes it as "bacterial SSU rRNA". It matches the Rfam family "Bacterial small subunit ribosomal RNA", at positions 774 to 1429 of the family's 1533-position model. Lineage: Bacteria; Pseudomonadati; Campylobacterota; Epsilonproteobacteria; Campylobacterales; Campylobacteraceae. The record is from RNAcentral.
AGGAUUAGAUACCCUGGUAGUCCACGCCCUAAACGAUGUACACUAGUUGUUGGGGUGCUAGUCAUCUCAGUAAUGCAGCUAACGCAUUAAGUGUACCGCCUGGGGAGUACGGUCGCAAGAUUAAAACUCAAAGGAAUAGACGGGGACCCGCACAAGCGGUGGAGCAUGUGGUUUAAUUCGAAGAUACGCGAAGAACCUUACCUGGGCUUGAUAUCCUAAGAACCUUAUAGAGAUAUGAGGGUGCUAGCUUGCUAGAACUUAGAGACAGGUGCUGCACGGCUGUCGUCAGCUCGUGUCGUGAGAUGUUGGGUUAAGUCCCGCAACGAGCGCAACCCACGUAUUUAGUUGCUAACGGUUCGGCCGAGCACUCUAAAUAGACUGCCUUCGUAAGGAGGAGGAAGGUGUGGACGACGUCAAGUCAUCAUGGCCCUUAUGCCCAGGGCGACACACGUGCUACAAUGGCAUAUACAAUGAGACGCAAUACCGCGAGGUGGAGCAAAUCUAUAAAAUAUGUCCCAGUUCGGAUUGUUCUCUGCAACUCGAGAGCAUGAAGCCGGAAUCGCUAGUAAUCGUAGAUCAGCCAUGCUACGGUGAAUACGUUCCCGGGUCUUGUACUCACCGCCCGUCACACCAUGGGAGUUGAUUUCACUCGAAGCCG